AGACAGCCUCAAUCUUCCUAUCCUAUUUUCUCUCACUCCAUCUCAAGUCAGGCACGGUGACUUGACGAGGCCCAUCUAAGCACACUACAGCACCGGGCGAGGCGGCUAGGCCCCCUCACCGUCCACCGGCGACUGGGCCGGCCGUCGCUGCCGCCCUGCCUCUCCACCGUCGCCGGCGACGAGCACCACUAGGUAUGCCCUCCCCUUGGUCUCCCUUUCCUGCUGUGCGGAGCCGUGCGCGGUGCGCCCAAACCUUAACGUGAUCCGUAGGGACGCCCUCUCCUUAGUCUUCCCUUACCUGAUGUGCGAAACCGUGCGCCCAAACCCUAACAUACUAUCUGUAUUCGGAUCUGAAGGUGUUUUUGAGUCUGUUGCGAGUGUUGUGGCCAUGUCCAUGUUCAAUAGGAUCUUCGGGAAGCCCAAGGAGCAGGCCAACUCCAAUGCUUUGGCCACUCUGGACAAGUUAAAUGAGACACUUGAUAUGCUGGAGAAGAAAGAAAAGGUGCUGGAGAAAAAAGCAAACGCUGAGCUUGAGAGAGCCAAGGAGUUCUCGAAAGCAAAGAAUAAAAGAGCGGCUAUCCAAUCCUUGAAGAGGAAAAAACUUUAUGAGCAACAAAUUGAGCAGCUUGGAAAUUUUCAGUUGAGAAUCCAUGAUCAGAUGAUCAUGUUAGAAGCAGCUAAAGCUACAACAGAGACUGUUGAUGCAUUGAGAACUGGAGCUGCAGCUAUGAAAGCAAUGCAAAAAGCAACAAACAUUGAUGAUGUCGACAAGACCAUGGAUGAAAUUAACGAACAGACUGAAAACAUGAAACAAAUUCAGGAUGCUUUGUCAGCUCCUCUUGGAGCUUUUGCUGAUUUCGACGAGGAUGAACUGGAAGCUGAACUUGAAGAACUGGAGGGAGCAGAGUUGGAAUCUCAGCUUCUUGAGCCUGUUGCAGCUCCUCCGGUGCAUCCAGUGCAUGUCCCAGCCAACAAGCAACCAGCUCGCCCUGCCCCACAGAAAGUUACAGCUGAAGAUGAUGAACUUGCUGCACUGCAAGCGGAAAUGGCAUUGUGAUCAGAAAUUCUCUUGGAACUACACUUAAUUAGUCCAAGUUUAUGGUGUUGGGAGUAGAUGGCUCUGGAAUAAUCUCCAAAUGAUAUUGGUUUCUCGGAACUUGCAGGUUCUCAUGGAGAGGUGAAACAUGUAAAUGAAGAUGAAAGCUGAGUCAGCUAUACUAUAUAUUUGCCAUGCGUGUACAAACUUGGCCGGAUAUUUGGCAACCGCAGCAGAAAAAAGAGGCUGCUCCAGCCCAGUGCUUGUUUCAGUGACUUUGGAAUCUGUUGUCGAUCGAUGACAGUUCUUCUGUUAAUGUCGCUCGGUUAGCUCUACGCUAAUUAUUCAGAUCACCCAACGUGCAUUGUUUCAGUGUUUUGCUUAAUUGGCCCAUACUGUCUGGAGCCGUGCAUGUAAAAGUGUUGCAGGGUUCACGUUUGAUGUGGCUGUUCGCAGCGCUUUCAACCUCAGGCAAGAUAUGUUUCCUUUUAUCAGUACUAGAGCAAGACUAAUAAUACAGUAGGCUACUGGCUAAGGAUCUUUGUAGUCUCUCUCAACUUACUCGUAUAGCAGUUAGCUAUUCACUGUUAAUAUAUGGUCUAUUUGUCUCUUAUAAAGUUUUUACUUAUUUAUUUUACAUGUAAGUCUACAACUUUUUUUUUA
RNA transcript from Zea mays, 1699 nucleotides. It is a transcript of the gene named charged multivesicular body protein 4b, with no coding region annotated. The transcript is spliced from 9 exons. Lineage: Eukaryota; Viridiplantae; Streptophyta; Magnoliopsida; Poales; Poaceae. The record is from RefSeq and is marked validated.